GGGGAUUUAGCUCAGGGGUAGAGCGCGCGCUUCGCAUGCGUGAGGCCGGGGGUUCGAUUCCCUCAAUCUCCA
Molecule: transfer RNA, 72 nt
Filed under: Blastocladiella britannica
Lineage: Eukaryota; Fungi; Blastocladiomycota; Blastocladiomycetes; Blastocladiales; Blastocladiaceae
Description: tRNA-Ala
Rfam family: tRNA
About the family: Transfer RNA (tRNA) molecules are approximately 80 nucleotides in length. Their secondary structure includes four short double-helical elements and three loops (D, anti-codon, and T loops).
Source: RNAcentral